This 253-nucleotide ribosomal RNA is filed under the name uncultured bacterium. RNAcentral's name for it is "partial 16S ribosomal RNA". It matches the Rfam family "Bacterial small subunit ribosomal RNA", at positions 524 to 776 of the family's 1533-position model. The record is from RNAcentral.
UACGUAGGGUGCAAGCGUUGUCCGGAAUUAUUGGGCGUAAAGGGCUCGUAGGCGGUUUGUCGCGUCGGGAGUGAAAACACCGGGCUUAACUCGGUGCUUGCUUUCGAUACGGGCAGACUGGAGGUAUGCAGGGGAGAACGGAAUUCCUGGUGUAGCGGUGAAAUGCGCAGAUAUCAGGAGGAACACCGGUGGCGAAGGCGGUUCUCUGGGCAUUACCUGGCGCUGAGGAGCGAAAGUGUGGGGAGCGAACAGG